AUGGCGUUUUCCCUCUCCCUGUCCUGGACUGGGGUCAGACUGUGCCCCGAGGAGAAGCAGCAGAGAAUAGGACUACGUCAU
MicroRNA precursor from Gorilla gorilla gorilla (western lowland gorilla), 81 nucleotides. Ensembl annotates it as microRNA 922. Its record names the gene MIR922. NCBI's taxonomy places the organism in Eukaryota, Metazoa, Chordata, Mammalia, Primates, Hominidae. The record is from Ensembl.